Molecule: long non-coding RNA, 5865 nt
Organism: Oenanthe melanoleuca
Lineage: Eukaryota; Metazoa; Chordata; Aves; Passeriformes; Muscicapidae
Exons: 2
Source: RefSeq, a predicted model, not a curated record
CUUCUUCCUGUCCCCUUGAGGAGGAGAUUGUGCAGGUGCUCCCUGGCUAUAUUUUGGGAAGAAACAGGCACCCUAAAUGUCAGAACAGAGCUGAGUAAAAAGGAGUAAUUGAGAAGGCCAUUGAAGAAAUGAAGUGGUGACAGUAGGAAGCACUGAGGGUCCUAGUGGGAACACGAGCAAUGCUGAUACACUUCUGUUGCCUUGGGCUGAGCCUGCUCUCCCCACAUGGAGAUCAGAACACAAACAAGGCCAGGAGCUCUUAAAACCCUCCCCUGCAAACCAAGGGGUGGGCUGGAUCUCCCAGAAGUCGCUCCCAAGGCAAACUGGCAGAGAAAGAAGAGUCCCAGCUGGGUUUUCUCUGUUUUCUGUGCUCUACCAAGCUAGGGGUGGCCUACCUGGGCACAAGUUGUCCACUACAGCCAUGGUUCCUUCAGCAUGGAGUGACAGCAAACCUGUGCUGGGGAAACACCACACCAGGGUAGCUGAGCUUAUUCUUACAAGAAGAAAAAUCAAUCUCUGGAGCAAAACAGGUGGGGACAGUCACGUCUGUAUACACAGUUUUCAGAAAACACAUUAAAAAUUUAUUUUAAAUAUAUUAUAAAAGGAAGUCCAUUCAACUUUAAAAACACUAGGCAUUCUAUCAAUGAUUCCCAAUUUAUGAAAGCUACUACAUUAAAGUGCUACAAGUCCUUUACCACCCCCAGAUAUUAGGCUGUUGGUCCUAAUAUGCACAAAAUAAAUACACACUGAUUCAAGAGGCACCAUCCAGUUUUACAGAGAAAAUGCAUGCAGUACAAGGUACACACAAAAUUAGACCUAAUCACUGAGAUCCUAGAGAAUGCAUUUUGAAACCAAUUCCCUUCUCCACCCUAGAGGCUAAAGCUAUUUGUUGCUGUUAUCGUAAGGGCUAAGGUUUCAGGCUGUUAGCUUGAUCAGUUUUUAUCUUGUUUUGUGGUUGAAGUUCAUGUUUGUUUGCUCACUACCUAGGAUUAAGACUUUUCUCCUUGAGUUGAACUAGUAUAUUUAAAACCACAUAGAUCCAGUGGCUAUAUAUUAAACUCCCAAAUCACUUAAAACUGUUGGAAUCAUUGAAGCCUUUUGGGUCAUACAGAAGCAUCAAGAAAGCUCAAAUGCAGUCAAUUAAGGAGUGUACUCAGCUAGCAGAGGCACAGUCAAAAACAGACACAGGUUUUUUAUUAGGGUUUCCAUGAUCCAACAUUGCCUAGUUCCUUACAGAUUCUCAAAGCUAAAGCAUGGCACUGCAAAGUAGAAAUCAGAGCACGAGGUGAGCUUAUUUUGGUUACACUUCAAAUUUAUAAUCUGAAUAAAUCAAUCUGACUGGUUAAUGAGGAAUGUGAAAUGAAUUGACGAGUCUGUGUUGAAUGCUGAUGGCAAUUUCAGAUCUCAUUUCCCAUUCUCCAUCCACUGCAUCUCUCUCCACUUGAACCAGGUGAGGAUUUGCAGCUUGUUUUAAAAUCUGGACUCAACACUCAUUAGGUCAGAAAAUAAAGCACUGAAAGGUGAAUCCUACACAAGCUGGGAAAUUGCAGCACACAGAUUUCCUUGCUUAAGAUCAAGUAACAGCCAUGGCAGCUGGGGAACAGGACCCAGUGCUCCUCACAAUCCAGCUCCCCUUUGCUGUGUAUCCUGUGAAACCACCCAGUGAAUCCAUGAGCCCCAGCAGCUGGAAGUGGAUGUGGGAUGCAAGGUACACGUGCAUCACUUGGGCUGUUUCACACAUGGCCUUACCAGGGCUCUUCUGACUGCAUGUCUGACAGGCUGACUGCCAGAGGCUGGCUGUUCUCUCCAAUUUCAAGUCCCUGUCUGUAUCCUGAAAGACAAUUUAGAGUAAAAUCUCCCCUUUCACCUGGCAGUUCCAUGACUGCCCAAUUUGACUAUUAGGAGAUGUCUCCCCUGGGUGAUGUCACAGCCCUGUAGCAGCCCCACAGCACUGUGCUCCUGCAAGCUGGUGGUGCCUGUUUGACUCUCAGAUCACUGAUCUCAGUGCAGCAGCAAGAAGGAAAGUUUGCUGACUGGAACACUCCAGUAGUAAAGGAAAGCAAAGCCCUGUGCACUGACUGCUGUAAAACCAACCAUGAGGAAAGUCAGGCUGAGAAAUUGCUUUCUUGCUACUUCUGUAUUAGAGAAUUUAAUACACUCUUGUAAAAGUUUCCCAGUGAUGGAAGGCAUCAACUUCUUCUGAAAGACACUUCUGCUACAGAUUUUAUAUGCUUUUGGGACUAUUUGUGUUUUGCAUACUUAGAAAAGAAAAUGCAGGAUCCCUCAUGCCAGUGAAAUCAUGAGCCUUCACCAUGAGGUGAAACAUCCAGCAGCUAACCAAGACAUUUUCCAGUACAGUUUCAGGUGCACACCCAGAGGUACAGCACAGUACAGCACACCCAGAGGAAGCUGCCAAGCUUUCCCAGUCUUCCUAUUAGGAGUGACAAACCUCCCCAGAGUCAUUAACAAUAUUGAUUUAACAGAGGGAACCCAAGAGCUUCUGAAUUACUGUCGCUCACACAAAUUUUGCACUGAAAAUCAGACAUUUAAAAAAAACCCCACACACAAACACUGCAGGAGUCAAGCUUUCUCUUACAUCCUUAUCCCCCAACCCCUUCCCCUCUCCUCUCGUGUCCAGCAAGGCACUAGGAAAUGGUUCAAGUUUAAGCAUUUGCUGUACAUUUGCAUUUAAAAAGGCACAUCUUUAUUUUAAUGAUGCUGUAUUCCCCUUUCAGGAAGGCUCACACGUUCUUCUGUUGUGGUUUGAAAAAGAAAAUUAAUUUCCUAGGUAUGAGAAAAGACACCUUGCACACAUGAGAGCCCCAAACUUAUUUACUGUGUGUAGGCCUUAGAGAUUAGCACCAGUAUAGAUCAACAAGAUGCUUCAAGAGCAAAUCAAAGUAUUUUUAUGCAACACACCUUGCUGUCUGGGAUUCUGAUACUUAAAAGCAGCAAAACUUAUGCAGCCACAAAGAGAAGGGUGUUUCAAUACUUUUGGGGGAAAAAUAUGAAAACAUGUAUUUGGCAUUAGAUAAUCACCAGUAUUUAAUCUCCAGUCUUGAUUUGCAUGCAGAUGUGAAGAUCUGAUUAUGUAUUCAUGCUUUAGCAAUUUUGCUUACAAAUAACCAAAAGUAAUUGGAAUAAUUAACCAGAUUGCCCGGGCAAGGCUCAGUUAAAGAUGCAGAUGAUGAAAUACAGCUUAUAUUUCUCAAUCAGUUGGCUAUAUUAAGUCUUUGCAUUAGUCAACAAAGCCUCUAGGGUACUGAAAAGUAUAACUGAUGCAAAUAAUUAAUAGCUCAAAGCCCAGUGAGCUACACAGAAGUGUACAGAAUUUGUGAGGCUCUUACCACAUUCAGAUCUCAAACCUCCAGAAAAGAGAUCAACCACACUGAGAUGGACCUGGUACAACUACUAACAUUAAAUCUCAGGUUUCUGUGUACUGGUGGUGGGUUGUCAAACAGGAAUUGCCUCAACUAUUGCCUAAGCUGUUGGUGCAAGCUGCUAAGAGCUGACCUUUCUCUCCAAAUUAAGAUCACCAAGUGGUAAAAGACCUGUUCAUUGCUGCAGCUCUCUCUGAAGCAAGAAUCCAGUGAGCCAAGUGAGGGCUCCCUUCACAAGGUGAGCCCAAGUACAAAGCAAGCCAUGCAGUUUAGAAACAGAAGCUAAUCCUCUCAUUAGAAAACUAAGACACACAAAGCUGCAACCUGCAAGCAGAACAACCUACAGUCCAUUUAUAGAAUAUGCUGAUUGUGUCCCAGUUAUAAAAAAACGAGCACUUUUCAUGGACAAACAGCUUCUUGUUCCACAGGCAUUAAAACAUUCAUAAAGACAUCUAGUCAGGCCAUCUAGUGGCUCCACAGUCAGCACUACUCAGCUAAUGAGAGUAUUAAUAACUUAAGGAAAGCAGCAGUUAGUCACAAAGUGCUGGAAGGUGACUCUGUCUCCCACAGAAAUGCAAAGGGAUCUUAAUAACAGACAUACUGUAGUAGCUGAGAACAUAAGGUGCCAACUCUGCUUGAUGCUGGUCUCACUUCCAUCCAAUACUGCUGCAGAAUUGUUACAAGGGGAAGUCUAGGGCUAUUUUUUCUUUUUUUCACUCUCAAAAUCUUAGACACCAACAUAUGGGAAGCCUGGUGCCCGCUGCAAUGCAGUGCCCAUGUUUCGUGUUCUCCAUGACUGCAUGGACCAGCUAAGUUGGCAGAAAAGGUCAGACAUGGCCUCAGCUGUGUGGAUGAGAGAGGUGGGAACCAUUCUGAGCCUCCUACUCAGCACAUCAGAUUGGAGAGUUUGGGGGGCACACAGCUGUGUCCUUGUUUGCUCCCAGCACAUAUGAAACAUGGGACACAGCCCUACAAUUGGCAACAAAAGGGCUUCUUGCUCCUGGAGCUCUGCAGGGGGGAGCCAUCCUGCUUGUUUUGGGACACUAGGGAAGCAUCUCCGUGCCUUCACAUGAAAGACAUCCCAGAGCAGAGCUUCCCUGCCCCUCUGAGGAGAGGCAAUGUAACCAUGUUCAUCAAGCAUCCCACAGGGGUCCCAUCCCCAUCACCCCAGAGCUGGCUGCACACUACCUGCUCUUGCAACACCCCUGCAUGGGCAGCUAGACAAACCAAGGAGCUGGGCAAUUCCUGACAAAGGAAUCCUGUUUACUAAUUUUCACAGCAUCUGUUCACUGGUUCACUGCAUCCCUAUUCACAGCUUUUACCAGAAAAUGACACUGCUCCUCCCUUCAGUACAAGACUAAGUCAGGGGAACUAGUACAUGUGUUUUUGCAAUAACUUCAUUUUAAACCAGAUUUUUAAAAAAUACUUGCUUCAGAUAGACUUGAACCAGUGGUCCUCCAUUCAUUCUUUAGUGUCAGUACAUUCCAGCUGCUGGGAUGAGACAAUCCUGGUUCACUGUCUGGCAGAUCCCACAGACAAACCAGAAGGGGUAACACCUUGCACUGCUCACUCACUGCACAAUGGAGACUGAACCAGGAAAAUGGGUUCAUCAGUCCCACAUCUCUGCUAAAGCAAACAGAUUUCCAGUCACAGUGAACUGCACAGUGGGUGCUGGGAAAUGAGGAGAGAUUAAUAGCACGUUUCCACAAGGCUAGAACACCACUGACCACAUGACUCAAGAAACUACAGACUGAUGAACAAAUGGAUAAAGACCAAUGGCUAAUCUCAGCCCUGACUUUAUUAUCCUGAAUUAAUCUGCUCACACCAACUGUAAAUUAACUUAGCCUUCAAACCUCUAAAGGAAGAAUGGAAAUUAUCUUCACACAGUAGAUUUAACUCUGAGAAAUCCUGGAGAUGUCUGUGCUAAAAAGGUUAUAAGAGGCAAAUUUGGAACCUGAUAUCCAAAGGCUCUUAGCAUAAAGUCUUCACCUGUAAGAACUGCGAUUAUUUAAAAACCCUCUGCUAAUCUUUCACCUUGAAGAUUCAACAGUGAGUGACAAACUGACUGCAAAGUGAAUGGACCAGAAACCCAGAUUCCUCAUGGCUAAUAACAACAGCCAUAUUCCCAACACUUGGCUGCACUUCCACUAGAGCUCAUUCCUUCAUCAGCCCUAUGAUUUGGAAAGUAAUAAUACUCAACCUGUUUGAAAUAUAUUUGGUUCAGGGCAAAAAAAUACUCAUUUCAUUUUACAAUAAUGGGCUUUUUUUUUUCUUUUUUUUUUUUCCUUUUUUUUUUUUUGAUUGGAGACUUAAAUCUUUUCUUCAGUAUUUUACUUAUAUGGAGUUUGGAAGAUAAAGCACCUAUGUGGGAACGCUUCAGUGGGUGGUAUAGCAGCUACAAAAAGUCCUGCAGGGUCCUGGAUAACAAAAUCAUUUAACACCAGACUGCAAUGGGAAAUAAAACAAAAACGGGGAAAAAAAAAAA